Molecule: transfer RNA, 77 nt
Filed under: Eubacterium sp.
Lineage: Bacteria; Bacillati; Bacillota; Clostridia; Eubacteriales; Eubacteriaceae
Also listed under: 28 other names
Description: tRNA-Arg
Rfam family: tRNA
About the family: Transfer RNA (tRNA) molecules are approximately 80 nucleotides in length.
Source: RNAcentral
GUGCCCGUAGCUCAAUUGGAUAGAGUAUCAGAUUCCGAUUCUGACGGUUGCAGGUUCGAGACCUGUCGGGUGCGCCA